UGGCAUGAUCUCAGCUCACUGCAACCUCUGCCUCCCGGGUUCAAGCAAUUCUCCUGCCUCAACCUCCCAGGUAGCUGAGAUGACAGGCACACACCACCACGUCUGGCUAAUUUUUUGUAUUUUAGUAGAGAUGGGGUUUCACCUUGUUGGCCAGGGUGGUCUUGAACUCCUGACCUCAUGAUCUGCCAACCUCGGCUUCCCAAAGUGCUGGGAUUACAGGCGUGAGCCACCACACCCAGCAGUUUCCAGGUAUUUUCAGCGGUCUCACUACAUUUCCGAAAGCAAUUUUAAAUAUAAACCAUUUUUUUGGCCAGGCGCAGUGGCUCACACCUGUAAUCCCAGCACUCUGGGAGGCCAAGGCAGGUGGAUUACUUGACGUCAGGAGUUAGGGACUAACUACCCUGGCCUAAAUGACAAAACCCUGUCUCUACUAAAAAUAAUGAAAAUUAGCCAGGCAUCAUAGUGGGCACCUAUAGUCCCAGCUGCUCAGGAGGCUAAGGCAGGAGGAUUGUUUGGACCUGGGAGGCGGAGUUUGCAGUAAGCCGAGAUUGUACCACUGCACUCCAGCCUGGGAGACAGAGUGAGACUCUGUAUAAAAA
This 599-nucleotide long non-coding RNA is filed under the name Homo sapiens (human). Its description in RNAcentral is "HSALNT0241234". The record is from RNAcentral. Lineage: Eukaryota; Metazoa; Chordata; Mammalia; Primates; Hominidae.